AAAUUGAAGAGUUUGAUCAUGGCUCAGAUUGAACGCUGGCGGCAGGCCUAACACAUGCAAGUCGAACGGUAACAGAAAGCAGCUUGCUGCUUUGCUGACGAGUGGCGGACGGGUGAGUAAUGUCUGGGAAACUGCCUGAUGGAGGGGGAUAACUACUGGAAACGGUAGCUAAUACCGCAUAACGUCGCAAGACCAAAGAGGGGGACCUUCGGGCCUCUUGCCAUCGGAUGUGCCCAGAUGGGAUUAGCUUGUUGGUGGGGUAACGGCUCACCAAGGCGACGAUCCCUAGCUGGUCUGAGAGGAUGACCAGCCACACUGGAACUGAGACACGGUCCAGACUCCUACGGGAGGCAGCAGUGGGGAAUAUUGCACAAUGGGCGCAAGCCUGAUGCAGCCAU
Molecule: ribosomal RNA, 398 nt
Filed under: Escherichia coli
Lineage: Bacteria; Pseudomonadati; Pseudomonadota; Gammaproteobacteria; Enterobacterales; Enterobacteriaceae
Description: bacterial SSU rRNA
Rfam family: Bacterial small subunit ribosomal RNA
Source: RNAcentral